RNAcentral lists this small nuclear RNA (107 nucleotides) under Salvator merianae (Argentine black and white tegu). The record is from RNAcentral. Lineage: Eukaryota; Metazoa; Chordata; Lepidosauria; Squamata; Teiidae.
GUGCUCGCUUCAGCAGCACAUAUACUAAAAUUGGUACGAUACAGAGUAUAUUAGCAUGGCUCCUGCGCAAGGAUGAUAUGCAAAUUCAUGAAGCGUUUUAAAGAAAA